UGGCUCCCAACUGAGGCAUUCAAGAGAAAACUCACUGAAAUAUUUGAAGCCACUGCCAUGAACAAGAAUGCUCUUCAUGUGUGCCCGGAUGUACAUCUGUUAUGCCCAUACCGUUUGUUCCCCAAAGAAGACCACCAGAGUCCAGAGUCAAAGCCAAGCGGCAAGGAUCUUUUACUGCAAGUUCGAACUUGGUCCCUCCAUUCCACAGCAGAUAAGAGGGCCUCGAACAAUGCGUGUGCUCGCUUUUUAUAGCCCGAUGUAAACAGGACUUGUAAGGUUACAGAGGAACAAGGGAAUUCUUUAGGUUACAGCAUUAUAAUUGGUUAACAUAUUAAGUUAUACAUUUAGCAGUUUUCUAUUGGUUCCCGCGCUUUCAGUAAAACCACAAACGGCUGUGUCCUUAUCAGAGAUUUUUCCAGGUGGUGUUUUUUUUUUUUAAAGUUGAAAUGUACGGUGGGACGUGUUUGUACUGGGCCCAGGAAAUUGAGAGAUAUAUGGUGUUUGUAUUGAGCCCAGGAAAUUGAGAGAUAUAUGGUGUUUGUAUUGAGCCCAGGACUGAGGAAUGUGCCUGAUUCCUUUCACAUCCAGAGUGUUAUCUUGUUAGUUGUAUAUGCCAGCAUCCGGCAGGAGCUUUUACCUUUUUUGGGUGUCAACUUUGAGAUUCUGAUGACCCACUCUGACCUUCCAGGAGCUGCUCCUUCCACAGCCUGUGAUCCUGAGGGUCAGCACGUCCAGCCAGGCCAAGUAACGAGAUCAGUCCUCUCCUCUGCCCCAGUUCAUGGAUGGACACAGGAUGCAGGUGGUGGGGGUAGUCCACUCGGUUCCUGCUAAUCCCACUGGAUCAUCAGGUGGAGAGAGUCAGCUUGCAUAGUGAAACCAAAGAGAGCUGUGAGAUGGCGAGUGAGAGUGAGAAACCAAGAGAGUGAGACACACACACACACACACACACACAGAGAGAGAGAGAGAGAGAGAGGGAGAGUGAGAGAGACAGAGAGAGAGAGACAGAAAAAGUCAGAGAAGCAGGGACACAGAGAGACAUAGAAAGAUGGAGAAAGAGAUGAGGGGAAGAGAGAAACAGAGACACACAGAGUCUUAAAAAGAGACAGAAAGAGAGAGAGCAACCAGGAGAGAGACACAGAGAGGGAGAAACAGAGACAGACAAAGUGAGAGGCAGAGAGAGAUGGAAAGAGAGAUGGGGAGAGGGACAGAAAGAGAGAAGCAAAAGCACAACAUUCCUUGAAUUGCUUCCCCCUGAAGUCACCAUUCUAUUUCUGCACUUCCAGUCACCACCAAGAAUCUUUCUAAGUCACCUGUCCUCCUUCCUUCCCCAUCUUCCUCAUGCACUCUUACUAAAGCCUCCUGAAAUCUGCUUUCCCAAUGACAACUCCUCCUUGAAAGGUCACCACUGACUUCCAAACAACCAGCAAAUAAAAAAGGUUUUUAAAACA
This 1448-nucleotide long non-coding RNA is filed under the name Piliocolobus tephrosceles (Ugandan red Colobus). RNAcentral describes it as "lncRNA (ENSPTEG00000006576.1)". Lineage: Eukaryota; Metazoa; Chordata; Mammalia; Primates; Cercopithecidae. The record is from RNAcentral.